This 553-nucleotide ribosomal RNA is filed under the name Schwanniomyces yamadae. Its description in RNAcentral is "LSU rRNA". It matches the Rfam family "Eukaryotic large subunit ribosomal RNA", at positions 66 to 633 of the family's 3401-position model. Lineage: Eukaryota; Fungi; Ascomycota; Pichiomycetes; Serinales; Debaryomycetaceae. The record is from RNAcentral.
CAACAGGGAUUGCCUCAGUAACGGCGAGUGAAGCGGCAAAAGCUCAAAUUUGAAAUCUGGCACCUUCGGUGUCCGAGUUGUAAUUUGAAGAAGGUAACUUUGGAGUUGGCUCUUGUCUAUGUUCCUUGGAACAGGACGUCACAGAGGGUGAGAAUCCCGUGCGAUGAGAUGUCCAAUUCUAUGUAAAGUGCUUUCGAAGAGUCGAGUUGUUUGGGAAUGCAGCUCUAAGUGGGUGGUAAAUUCCAUCUAAAGCUAAAUAUUGGCGAGAGACCGAUAGCGAACAAGUACAGUGAUGGAAAGAUGAAAAGAACUUUGAAAAGAGAGUGAAAAAGUACGUGAAAUUGUUGAAAGGGAAGGGCUUGAGAUCAGACUUGGUAUUUUGCAAGCCUUACCCUCGUGGUGGGGUCCCUCUGCAGUUUACUGGGCCAGCAUCGGUUUGGAUGGUGGGAUAAUGACAUUGGAAUGUGGCUCUGCUUCGGUAGAGUGUUAUAGACCUUUGUUGAUACCACCUGUCUAGACCGAGGACUGCGUCUUUGACUAGGAUGUGGCAUAA